This 400-nucleotide ribosomal RNA is filed under the name uncultured bacterium. RNAcentral's name for it is "bacterial SSU rRNA". It matches the Rfam family "Bacterial small subunit ribosomal RNA", at positions 355 to 747 of the family's 1533-position model. The record is from RNAcentral.
UGGGGAAUUUUGGACAAUGGGGGCAACCCUGAUCCAGCCAUGCCGCGUGAGUGAAGAAGGCCUUCGGGUUGUAAAGCUCUUUCAGCCGGAAAGAAAUCGCAUUGGCUAAUACCUGAUGUGGAAGACGGUACCGGAAGAAGAAGCACCGGCUAACUACGUGCCAGCAGCCGCGGUAAUACGUAGGGUGCGAGCGUUAAUCGGAAUUACUGGGCGUAAAGCGUGCGCAGGCGGCUUUAUAAGACAGGCGUGAAAUCCCCGAGCUUAACUUGGGAACUGCGCUUGUGACUGUAAGGCUAGAGUAUAGCAGAGGGGGGUAGAAUUCCGCGUGUAGCAGUGAAAUGCGUAGAGAUGCGGAGGAAUACCGAUGGCGAAGGCAGCCCCCUGGGCUAAUACUGACGCU